Long non-coding RNA from Callithrix jacchus (white-tufted-ear marmoset), 2153 nucleotides. RefSeq lists it as uncharacterized. Lineage: Eukaryota; Metazoa; Chordata; Mammalia; Primates; Cebidae. The record is from RefSeq and is a predicted model, not a curated record.
CUCCCAAAGUGCUAGGAUUACAGGCAUGAGCCACUGCACCUAGCCUGCCUUCUAAGCUUUAUAACAUACAUACAUAGUUUAUAUAGCUACUGCAUGUCCCAAAUGCAUGUCCUAGAUUUGGUGAUCUGAAAGCAAGGUCCCUUCUCUUCUAGCUCCAAAUAGCAACAACCUAAGAGGACAAUUAAUCCAUCUUGGGACAUAUGCCCACCACAGAUUGUCCAUGACUUUGAACAAAUGUCUGGGUUCAAGGGUAUGGGCUACUAUGUUUGGCGAAAUCUAGGUCACUCUGUUUGGAAAACUCUGCCCCUACCGCAAAAUCUCUCUCUCUUUCCCUCCCCCACAAAGAGGCUCCCUUAUCUCUCACUUUACAUACCGGCCCUAGCCCUCCCGCCGCCCAGCUUCCCACCCAGCAGUUCAAACUGACCAACAGUUGCCCACCACCUCGGCUUUUGGCUUCCCCACCCCCCAGCCCUUCAGCCCCCUAUAAAACAACCCUGCCCCUCUGAGCAGCGCGGCCAUUUUUCCUUUUCGUCCCAGCUGGCCCGCCCGGAGGCUCUUUCCUCUCAAUAAAGCCUGAACUUAAGGAAUUUCCUCUAGCCUGCGGUCCAGUUUCUUUCCCAAUGAGCCCAGUCUUCCCGCAGAGGGUAGGUCGGACAAAUGGUGCCGGAAACCCGGGACGGGAGCUGAGGCCGUUGGCCCGGCCACGGCCCCCCUCCCCGACCUACCCAACACUGGCCCUGCCACCUCCACGUUCCGAUUAAGGCUGGAUUGAAGCUUACCCCACAGCCUCUGAGUCUGCCGGGACAGUAGCCACUCAUCUCAUUCAAGACAUCAUCCCACGCUUUGGACUCCCAGCUACCAUACAGUCAGACAACGGCCUAGCCUUUAUCUCCAAAGUCACUAAUGCCGUUUCUACCUCUCUAGGAAUUCAGUAGAAGCUACAUGCCGCCUACCAUCCCCAGUCCUCUGGUAAGGUAGAACGGGCCAAUGGCCUAAUAAAGGAGCAUCUGACCAAGCUCAUGCUUGAGCUCCGCCAAUCCUGGGUAACCUUACUUCCUAUCGCCCUCACCAGAGUAAGAGCAAGCCCCCGGGGCCCAUCACAGCUUAGCCCAUCUGAGCUGCUGUAUGGUUGCCCCUUCCUGCUUUCAACUCCCCCACCGCCAGAGACUACUCCUCUAGACAGCUACCUCCCCUACUUUACUCAGGAUUAGGAGGAGGGGCACUAGUCCACUCUCACCUGGCCAUAGCCCGACUGACCUCACAACUCCAAGCGGCUAUUGAUGACUCUACUGAGUCUUUAGCAUCACUCCAACGACAGAUCACCUCAGUUGCCCAAGUUGCCUUGCAGAACCGAAGAGCCCUGGACCUGCUCACUGCUGAAUGAGGAGGGACCUGUAUCUUCCUACAGGAAGAGUGCUGUUACUACAUCAAUGAAUCCGGCCUAGUAGAAACCCGAAUCGAGAGCCUCCAGAAACUCAAAACUAACCUGCAGAGUCAGAAGUUCUCGGCUGAAGCCACGGCGUGGUGGUCUUCCUCUAUGUAUACCCUCUUGUCCCCAUUGCUUGGGCCCCUAGUAGCUGUUUGCCUAAUCUUACUUAUUGCUCCUUGCUUUCUACAGUUCCUAUAGCGGCGCUUUCAAGAACUGACUCGAGUCACCAUCCACCAGAUGCUGCUCCAACCCCACCCUGAACGAGUGCAAGAAACAGACCUCUCCCCGAACAUCCAGGCUCGUUAAGAAAAGAGACCUCUUCAGAACCCCCAUCGACCCUUGUCAGCAGGAAGUAGCUAGAGAGACAACCGACGCCCCUGACCCCCUCUUUUUCUUUUCUUUAAGGAGUCGGGAAUGUUUGGAAAACUCUGCCCCUACCGCAAAAUCUCUCUCUCUUUCCCUCCCCCACAAAGAGGCUCCCUUAUCUCUCACUUUACAUACCGGCCCUAGCCCUCCCACCGCCCAGCUUCCCACCCAGCAGUUCAAACUGACCAACAGUUGCCCACCACCUCGGCUUUUGGCUUCCCCACCCCCCAGCCCUUCAGCCCCCUAUAAAACAACCCUGCCCCUCUGAGCAGCGCGGCCAUUUUUCCUUUUCGUCCCAGCUGGCCCGCCCGGAGGCUCUUUCCUCUCAAUAAAGCCUGAACUUAAGGAAUUUCCUCUA